UAGGGAAUCUUCCGCAAUGGACGAAAGUCUGACGGAGCAACGCCGCGUGAGCGAUGAAGGCCUUCGGGUCGUAAAGCUCUGUUGUUAGGGAAGAACAAGUACCGGAGUAACUGCCGGUACCUUGACGGUACCUAACCAGAAAGCCACGGCUAACUACGUGCCAGCAGCCGCGGUAAUACGUAGGUGGCAAGCGUUGUCCGGAAUUAUUGGGCGUAAAGCGCGCGCAGGCGGUCCUUUAAGUCUGAUGUGAAAGCCCACGGCUCAACCGUGGAGGGUCAUUGGAAACUGGGGGACUUGAGUACAGAAGAGGAAAGCGGAAUUCCACGUGUAGCGGUGAAAUGCGUAGAGAUGUGGAGGAACACCAGUGGCGAAGGCGGCUUUCUGGUCUGUAACUGACGCUGGGGCGCGAAAGCGUGGGGAGCAAACAGGAUUAGAUACCCUGGUAGUCCACGCCGUAAACGAUGAGUGCUAAGUGUUAGAGGGUUUCCGCCCUUUAGUGCUGCAGCUAACGCU
This 513-nucleotide ribosomal RNA is filed under the name uncultured Bacillota bacterium. RNAcentral's name for it is "bacterial SSU rRNA". It matches the Rfam family "Bacterial small subunit ribosomal RNA", at positions 355 to 859 of the family's 1533-position model. Lineage: Bacteria; Bacillati; Bacillota. The record is from RNAcentral.